CGCGGAGUAGUGCAAUGGCAGCACGACAGGGUUUGAGCCUGUAGUAGUCGGUUCGACUCCGGCCUCCGCAACCA
RNAcentral lists this transfer RNA (74 nucleotides) under Inoviridae sp. RNAcentral describes it as "tRNA-Gln". It matches the Rfam family "tRNA". From Rfam's summary of the family: Transfer RNA (tRNA) molecules are approximately 80 nucleotides in length. Their secondary structure includes four short double-helical elements and three loops (D, anti-codon, and T loops). Further hydrogen bonds mediate the characteristic L-shaped molecular structure. tRNAs have two regions of fundamental functional importance: the anti-codon, which is responsible for specific mRNA codon recognition, and the 3' end, to which the tRNAs corresponding amino acid is attached (by aminoacyl-tRNA synthetases). tRNAs cope with the degeneracy of the genetic code in two manners: having more than one tRNA (with a specific anti-codon) for a particular amino acid; and 'wobble' base-pairing, i.e. permitting non-standard base-pairing at the 3rd anti-codon position. The record is from RNAcentral. Lineage: Floreoviria; Loebvirae; Hofneiviricota; Faserviricetes; Tubulavirales; Inoviridae.